GGCGGGGCCGCCGCGCCCUGGGGCGGAGGGCGGGCCGCCUCGUGACGUGUGUGCGCCGUCUCCUCCCCCGGCCGCCCCUGCCCGCUGCGGACGCCCGAGCGAGCCUCCCGGGCCAGGUGCAGGCCCAGGAGGCGCCCAGGGGCUCUUCGGGUCCCCCCACCUCGGACGCCCGCCCCACUCACUGGCUCUGGCUUGUGACAGGCCCCUCUGAUCUGCCCGACUCCCGCACUCACAGCCCCCGAGACGCCAGGAGCUUCUCCAGCUGGAGCAGCUGGAAAACCAGCUGUCAGACGCCAUUCAACGCUACGGCCUUGUGCAAAAGAAAAUUGCAGAGAAAUCCAGAGCACUGCUUCCCACAGCACAGAGGGGCAGCAAACAGGCGAGUGCCAAUAUUCGGGUAG
Molecule: long non-coding RNA, 401 nt
Filed under: Dasypus novemcinctus (nine-banded armadillo)
Lineage: Eukaryota; Metazoa; Chordata; Mammalia; Cingulata; Dasypodidae
Description: lncRNA (ENSDNOG00000050209.1)
Source: RNAcentral